GAUGAACGCUGGCGGCGUGCCUAACACAUGCAAGUCGAGCGAAGCGCUUAAAUUAGAUUUCUUCGGAAUGACGAUUUUUGUGACUGAGCGGCGGACGGGUGAGUAACGCGUGGGUAACCUGCCUCAUACAGGGGAAUAACAGUUAGAAAUGACUGCUAAUACCGCAUAAGACCCCAGCUUCGCAUGAAGCGGUGGUAAAAACUCCGGUGGUAUGAGAUGGACCCGCGUCUGAUUAGCUAGUUGGUAAGGUAACGGCUUACCAAGGCGACGAUCAGUAGCCGACCUGAGAGGGUGACCGGCCACAUUGGGACUGAGACACGGCCCAGACUCCUACGGGAGGCAGCAGUGGGGAAUAUUGCACAAUGGGGGAAACCCUGAUGCAGCGACGCCGCGUGAAGGAUGAAGUAUUUCGGUAUGUAAACUUCUAUCAGCAGGGAAGAAAGUGACGGUACCUGACUAAGAAGCCCCGGCUAACUACGUG
This 481-nucleotide ribosomal RNA is filed under the name uncultured bacterium. RNAcentral describes it as "partial 16S ribosomal RNA". It matches the Rfam family "Bacterial small subunit ribosomal RNA", at positions 28 to 507 of the family's 1533-position model. The record is from RNAcentral.